AAUCAACGCUGGCGGCGUGCCUCAGACAUGCAAGUCGAACGAUUAAAGCUCUCUUCGGAGAGUGUAUAGAGUGGCGCACGGGUGAGUAACACGUAAGUAAUCUACCCUCGAGUGGGGAAUAACGUCCGGAAACGGACGCUAAUACCGCAUAAUGCAGCGGCACCGCAAGGUGACAGUUGUUAAAGAUUUAUCGCUUGAGGAGGAGCUUGCGGCAGAUUAGCUAGUUGGUAAGGUAAUGGCUUACCAAGGCUACGAUCUGUAACCGGUCUAAGAGGACGGUCGGUCACACUGACACUGAAUAACGGGUCAGACUCCUACGGGAGGCAGCAGUCGGGAAUUUUGGGCAAUGGGCGAAGACCUGACCAGCAACGCCGCGUGGAGGAUGAAGUAUUUCGGUAUGUAAACUUCGAAAGAAUAGGAAGAAUAAAUGACGGUACUAUUUAUAAGGUCCGGCUAACUACGUGCCAGCAGCCGCAGU
RNAcentral lists this ribosomal RNA (478 nucleotides) under uncultured bacterium. RNAcentral describes it as "bacterial SSU rRNA". It matches the Rfam family "Bacterial small subunit ribosomal RNA", at positions 32 to 521 of the family's 1533-position model. The record is from RNAcentral.